UCGGGAAUUUUGGGCAAUGGGCGAAAGCCUGACCCAGCAACGCCGCGUGAAGGAUGAAAUCCUUCGGGAUGUAAACUUCGCAAGAACGGGAAGACUAAGUAAGAGUUAAUAUCUCUUACGAUGACGGUACUGUUUGUAAGCUCCGGCUAACUCCGUGCCAGCAGCCGCGGUAAUACGGGGGGAGCAAGCGUUGUUCGGAAUUACUGGGCGUAAAGGGCGCGUAGGCGGCCUUCUAAGUCGAACGUGAAAUCCCCGGGCUCAACCCGGGAACUGCGUCCGAUACUGGGAGGCUUGAAUCCGGGAGAGGGAUGUGGAAUUCCAGGUGUAGCGGUGAAAUGCGUAGAUAUCUGGAGGAACACCGGUGGCGAAGGCGGCAUCCUGGACCGGUAUUGACGCUGAGGCGCGAAAGCCAGGGGAGCAAAC
Molecule: ribosomal RNA, 423 nt
Filed under: uncultured bacterium
Lineage: Bacteria
Description: bacterial SSU rRNA
Rfam family: Bacterial small subunit ribosomal RNA
Source: RNAcentral